AGCGAACGUUAGCGGCGCGCCUAACACAUGCAAGUCGCACGAGAAACGGAGCAAUCCGCGGUACAGUGGCGCACGGGUGAGUAACACGUGGAUGACCUUCCCUGGAGUGGUGGAUAACCUGCCGAAAGGCGGGCUAAUACAGCAUGGGACCACGACGCUUUGGCGAUGUGGUGAAAGCGGGCCUCUAUAUAUAAGCUCGCGCUCCGGGACGGGUCCGCGUCCCAUCAGCUAGUUGGUGAGGUAACGGCUCACCAAGGCUUCGACGGGUAGCUGGUCUGAGAGGAUGGCCAGCCACACUGGAACUGAGACACGGUCCAGACUCCUACGGGAGGCAGCAGUGGGGAAUCUUGCGCAAUGGGCGAAAGCCUGACGCAGCGACGCCGCGUGGGCGAAGAAGGCC
Molecule: ribosomal RNA, 400 nt
Filed under: uncultured bacterium
Lineage: Bacteria
Description: bacterial SSU rRNA
Rfam family: Bacterial small subunit ribosomal RNA
Source: RNAcentral